Molecule: non-coding RNA, 75 nt
Submitted as: unclassified sequences
Source: Rfam
CUUGUGGAGAGUACAAGAACUUGUAAGUAGUAUUUGGAGUUAUCCGAUACGAAAACAUACUCGAUGAAGCAAGAA